CCCGGCUUCCCACGCGGCGUCAUCUUGCGAACUCCCCCAGGGCCGAAAGGCAGCAAGGGUAAGUGAGCUCUGGCGGGUGCGUGGGAAGUCCUUUAC
Non-coding RNA from Brevibacterium yomogidense, 96 nucleotides. Lineage: Bacteria; Bacillati; Actinomycetota; Actinomycetes; Micrococcales; Brevibacteriaceae. The record is from Rfam.